Molecule: ribosomal RNA, 429 nt
Filed under: bacterium
Lineage: Bacteria
Description: partial 16S ribosomal RNA
Rfam family: Bacterial small subunit ribosomal RNA
Source: RNAcentral
UAGGGAAUCUUCGGCAAUGGGGGCAACCCUGACCGAGCAACGCCGCGUGAGUGAAGAAGGUUUUCGGAUCGUAAAGCUCUGUUGUAAGUCAAGAACGGGUGUGAGAGUGGAAAGUUCACACUGUGACGGUAGCUUACCAGAAAGGGACGGCUAACUACGUGCCAGCAGCCGCGGUAAUACGUAGGUCCCGAGCGUUGUCCGGAUUUAUUGGGCGUAAAGCGAGCGCAGGCGGUUUGAUAAGUCUGAAGUUAAAGGCUGGGGCUCAACCAUAGUUCGCUUUGGAAACUGUCAAACUUGAGUGCAGAAGGGGAGAGUGGAAUUCCAGGUGUAGCGGUGAAAUGCGUAGAUAUAUGGAGGAACACCGGUGGCGAAAGCGGCUCUCUGGUCUGUAACUGACGCUGAGGCUCGAAAGCGUGGGGAGCGAACAGG